UCUCUUAUAAAAACAAAAGGAGAUUCUAGUUAAAAAAGUACUGGAGGUAAGCCAAAACUGCAAAUUGAGCAUGUUAUGAUACACUUUUGAAUGAGGUUGGUUGUAUUUAAUUCAAGAAUGAAAUUUACAUUCCUAGACAUUGUCAUGCUUAUCUGUACUUUUUAAUGUUAUUUUCUAUCAUAAAUUUCUCACAUGCCCAUGCAUUUCAUAUGUCAUGUCAUAGGGUAGACUAUAUGUGGUCACAUGCUCACAUUUCCAUACAUUCAUUUGUCAUCACUUAGGAUAGGUUAUAUUCUAUGCUCAUAUGUUCGUGCACCUCACAUGCCUUUGCAUUCAUAUAUCAUAUGUUCUCACUUGCCCCUAUGUUUAUGUAUUCUACAUGUCAGCCCUUAGGUUGAUUGUACAUAUUCACAUAAAAAAGAUUUUCUACAAGGACAAUAAAAUUGUCAAAUGAUAUUCUUCUCACACUUUAUAAGCAUUUAACCAUUGCAUCCCUUUGUUGUCUCUGUGUCUUUUUGCAUGAGAAAAAUGUGUUGAAGGGAAAAAGUGCAAAUCGAACUUAUUAUGCUAUGCUUUGGAAUGAGGUUGGUUGUAUUUAAUUCAAGAAUGUAAUUUACUUUCCUAGCCAAUGACAUGCAAUCACAUGCUUGGUUAUACUCUAAUGUUAUUUUCUAGUAUAAAUUGCUCCAUGCCCAUGCAUUUCACAUGUCAUUUGAUAAGGUAGACUAUAUGUGGUCCCAUGCUUACAUAUCCAUGCAUUCAUUUGUCAUCACUUAGGAUAGAUUAUAUUCUAUGCUCCUCUGUUCAUGCACCUCACAUGCCCAUGCAUUCAUAUAUCAUAUUUUCUCACUUAGGACUAAUUAUAUUCUAUGCUCACAUGCUUAGAUGUCCAUGCUUUAGGGUUUAAGCUAAGGACUGACAUGUUAUUCUAUGCUUCGGAAAAAUUGCAAUUUAGUUUCCUAACCAUUUGCCAUGUAAUCACAUGCUUGGGUAGACUAUAUGUGGUCACAUUCUCACAUAUCAAUACAUUCAUUUGUCAUCAUUUAGGAUAGAUUAUAUUCUAUGCUCGCAUGUUCAUGCACCUCACAUGCCAAUGCCCAUGCAUUCAUAUAUUAUAUGUUCUUACUUGCCCCUAUGUUUAUGCAUUCUACAUGUCAGCCGUUAGGUUGAUUUUACAUGUUCACAUGAAAAGAAUUUCCUACCAGGGCAAUAAAUUUUCAAAUGACAUUCUUCUCACACUUUAUAAACAUUUAACCAUUGUAUCCAUUUGUAGUCUCUUUGUGUCUUUUUGCAUGAGAAAAAUGCAUUGAAGGGAAAAAGUGCAAAUCAAACUUGUUAUGCUAUGCUUUGGUAUUUCAAUUGACUUGAUUUAUAGUUUCAUUCUUCCCCUGUGAGAUGGCUGGAGCCGCUACUGGUAAUGUUUUUUCUUGUCUUUUUUUUAUUGUGUGUUAAAUGUGAUUUGGUUUGGGUAUUGUGGGUGGAUUGGUUUUGAUAUAGGAAUUUUGUUUUUUAAGUUGAGGCUGUUUUUCUUUUCAUUUGUGGUUGAGAUUUUCUAUUACAAUCUCCAUAUAAUUGUGACUGCCCAAUUGAUGUUUUUCAUCGAAUUUGCUUCUUGGUUGACGUUUUUUGUUUUGAAUGGUGCUGGAUUAAUCCGGAUGAACUAUGGGCUUUAAUUUUUCUUCUUCAGUUUGUAUGAUUAUUGAAUGUAUGUAGGCAAGCUGUUUGUUAAAGGUUUCUUAGAGGAUUAAUGGGUUGUUUUGGGGUCUGGGUUUGUCUAUUUGUUAUGGGUUAUUGGGUUUUUGUUUCUUUUGAGUUUGUAUGUAAAAGGGUUACUUAAAAAGCUAGAUGGGGGUUUUUAGGGUAUUGGCUUUUUGUUUAUUUUUGAAUCUCUGAGAAUAUAGAUUUUGAAAACUUGAAUAUUUGAAUUGGCUUUUAUUUUUUUAUUUAUUUUUAUUUUUUAUUUUAUGGGGUUUGUAGGGUUCUUUGUUAUUGUCUUAUGAAACAGGUUGCAAUCUGACUUGAUGGCCUUAAUGGUAAGAACCUUGUGACUUAACCUAAAUCUGUCUAUAAUUGAGAUGGGUUUUUCUUUUUGUUAUUGGUAAAGAACAUAAGGUUUUUCAAAAAAAAAAAAUUUGUGCAACCAAACGCUAUCUUUGAACUCACAAUUUGAUUCCGGUAAGUGAAGAUUUGGUAGUUUGGAUUCAAUUACAAUUUAAUUAGACUAUUCAUUAUGUCUAAUAGUCUAAUGAAUUGAUGUUAAUUGGAAAUAGUAAUGUUCCUACUGUGUUUUGCAGAUAAUUGUGGAUUUGAUAUGCAACAGGUAUGCAUAUUGUCCUGUUUAUAUUGCUUUAACUUAAGGAAUAUCCAUUCUUUGGUGAAUUGUGAUUCUAUGAUGCCACAUCUCAAUAACGAUUUAUUAGAAUGAACUAUCUUGCUUUUGGAGGGCUUUACAGAGUUGGUUGACAAUUAUUUGCUGCGUCUUUCCUCUUUGAAAAAUUAAUGUUAAAACAUGUCUUAUUUUACCUUAUAAUUUUGUUGAUAUUGUUGGCAACUGGAUAGACUAGAUAAACCAAGAAGGUCGAAGGGCAUGGUGACCCCAGUGAGCCAAAGGCCUGAAAAAUAUAUAUGCAGAACCAAGAGCCACAAAGCUUAGGCCUUUUUAAGGAACUACUCAAUUCUCAUAAGAUCCUUGUAUAGCAUAUGAUACAGAUAGAGCCCCAAUCUAUGGCCUUUUAUGGAAUCCCAGGCAUGAAUUAAAAUGAGUGACUACUAUACUAGUUGUUAUUUAAAAGUAGGAGGGGUUUUCAUUUUCGAAUGACUAUUUAAGCCCCCAAAGGUCAAGUUUGAAACUGGCUGCUUCCUUCUGACAUUCUUUAGGUACACUUUUUUUUUUUUUCAAAAUUUUUUGCUGGGUUUGUUGAGAUCAUUUAGCACUACAAUAAUAUAUUGCGGAAAGUUUAAUGUGUCGAAGUAAUGAUAUGAUUUGGCUGUGGUCUGCGGCUUCAUAAUCUAAUAACAUGUGAAAUCUUUAUCUACAGGAUAAAUGCACCAUUAACUGGGAUAUAAAAUUUGGAUUUGCAGUUCUAAUAUGAUUUGUCUUUAAGUGUUUGUUGGUUCCUUCUGAAAUGUGUUAGGGGAACUUCAUUGCUUUUCCUCUAAUGCCUUCCUUAUGACCUUUUCUUUUCUUGAUAUUUACAUCUACUUUCCACAAACACGGGUGCUUGGAAGUUAUUUAGGGGUGUGUUUAUCCUUCCUAUAUAUGGGGUUCUAUUUUCUUUUGUAAUUUUCUAACAAAUUAGUUACCUAACAAUGAAAUGGUAUAAGGUAAUGGGAGACUGAUAUAGCAGCCUUUUGGGCAUUCAUUACCCUGUUAGAUUUUAUUUUAUUCUCCCAUUCUCUCUCACAUGAUCUUAAUUUGCCUUGCACUAUUUGGUUCUAUAAGAACAUUUUGGUCAUAAUGUCUUUGCUUGUUUAGAUCCUAAUAAACCUCUUCCAUCUUACUUUAUUUGAAAUGAUUUCAUAAUCUGCCUAUCGUCUCUGUAUUAGUUCUGUUGCAAAGGAGGUUGAAGAAUUUCAAUCUGACACUGAGGACUCUGGAAGUGUUGAUGAUGACGCCAAUGACUGUGGUCCAUGUAGCGACAACAAUGAUUUGGCUUGUGAAUCAGGAAAUUCCAAUUCAAGAAAACUUUAGUAUAUGAACCAUGAAAUAACAUGCUGAGUAUCUAUGUUAGGAUUGAUGGAAGUUGGUGGUCUAGGCCAAGGAGCGAGAAGCUGUAGGGUUGAGGACUAGCUUGAACACACUGAUGGUUGAAGUACAGCGUUUGAAUAAACUAUGUGCAGAGAGGAAAGAAGCUGAAGAUUCUUUAAAAAAGAAAUGGAAGAAGAUUGAAGAGUUUGAUGCCUGAAGAUCUGAACUUGAAACAAUAUAUACUGCUCUUCUUAAGGCUAACAUGGAUGCCGCUGCAUUCUGGAAUCAGCAGCCAUAAGAUGUGAGGGAGUAUGCGUCCAGCACUAUAAUUCCUGCUUGCUUAGUUGUCGUGAAAAUUUCCAAUGGUGCAAAAGUUUUUAUUGAUAAAUAAGUUUCUGCUUUCUUUCGAAGUCCUGAUAAUAGCCUCUACAUGCUUCCGUCAAUCCCACAGGCAAUCUUGGAGUCCAUGGGGGCUAAUGAAUCUACUGGACAUGAAGCUGUUGCUGCUGCAGAAAGAGUGCGGCUUUAUUGACUGCAAGAGCUGGUUCCAGGGAUCUAUCUGCAAUUCCAUCAAUAUUCCGUGUUUCAGCUGCCCUUCAAUAUCU
Quercus robur (English oak) is the source of this 4293-nucleotide long non-coding RNA. RefSeq lists it as uncharacterized. NCBI's taxonomy places the organism in Eukaryota, Viridiplantae, Streptophyta, Magnoliopsida, Fagales, Fagaceae. The record is from RefSeq and is a predicted model, not a curated record. The transcript is spliced from 4 exons.